UUCUGAAGAUGUUACCAAAUGUUUGUUUCCUAGGGGGUGAGGCAGUAGUUUGGGUAGAGCACUCAAGAAAAGAGGCUAUGGUGUGCGGGGAAGAGAGGGGCGCAGGCCUCAACUGGUGGCAGUGCGAGGCUCUGGGGAGAGUGCAUUCGGUGCCCUCUCCUUGCCCGCCCGGGCAGCAGCCAGGUUGGGCUCGGCUUUGUGUCCACAGCUCUUAGGGUUAGAGAAUGACGGCUCCAAGCUCCCCCUGCCUCACCCCCUCUCCCUCAAGCCUUUCUUGCCUCUGUCAUCCAUGAGGUGCCCUCACAGCAACUGAGGCUAUAGCUGUUUUGAGAUGGCCAACUCAAGUCGUGUUGAACUGUGCAGAAAUAGCUGUCCGGGAGAAGCACCUUGACAGACGAAACACCUGAACAUGACCAGAGGCGUUCUCCCUACUUACCUAGAGGCCUUGCUAUUGGGUGGCUGUUCUGCAUGAAAUUUCCCAAAUUGACUUGAGUGCAGCAACUUUCCCCACUCUUCCUGGCAGUCUCUUUAAGCCACUGCAUCACAUAUUUCUCUGGCGCCUUUAACAGCCUUCUGUGAGCUGAAUCAGUUCUACUUCUUUUUGGAGAUGGGGGUAAAAAUUGUCUUUCAUGGUAAGCACUAAACACAUUUAUGAACCAUCUUUUAAAUACAUAAAUAUAAGAUAACAAGGUUAUUUACGGUGUCUCUGGCUCUCUAGUAUUAGGUAAUAGUAUUAGAAAGUAUAGGUGCUCUGCAGGCAGCUUGGAGUGGUGGGUUCCCAGUGGGGGGAUAAGCAGCCCCGUUAACCCUCUUGCUGGAUGUCUGUGACCUCACUGACAAACCUCAUCUUGAACUGAAGGAAAAAACCCUAGAAUUUAAGCCUCUUUAUGAAUGUGAGGUGGGGCCCAAAGAUGAGGGGCAGAGAGCUGAGCCGCUGUGGAUGGCCUCUUUUCAUGUUAUCUGGACAGUGUCCACUGGGUGGCCCACAUGGCCACAAUCCCUGAACCCACAGCAGGCAUGCCAUCCCCUCUUCCCCACAGCUCCCACUUCACAAUCUGCUGUUUGCCCAGGAAGGCCAGUCAAGGGGCAGAGGGAUAGGGAAGAGGAAUGAGCCCAGCCAGGUGCAGGAGAGAACAAGGAUGAUCAAGAAGAGCGAACUCUGGGGAGCAGAGUUACAAACAUAGCUUUCCAGGUCCUGGGACCCACAUCACUCCAGCCUCCCUUGGUCUCAAGCCCUCCCCUAGCGUGCUGCCUCCAGCCUGUAGAUCCCCACCUGGCUCUGACAGGGCCCAGCCCCAGUUACUGCAGAGUAUCUCUGACUUGAGUGGCUCCAGCCUAGUGUCUGUGCCCUGGGUACUGUGGGCUGCCAGCCUCUGUGAGCACCUGCAGUGGCUUUGGCACUGUAGGCACAGAGCCGCAGUUCUGAUGCUUGGCUGUGACUGCCUCUGGGCUGAAGGCUGGAAGCUGUGGCUCUGCCCUGACGGAAUGUGGUGGCAAGACCAUGUCCAGUGACUCAGGGUACUUAGGUAAAGAGGCUGCAAAAAGCUGAGGGCUGCUGAGGGGAGAAGUGUUGGGACCCUCUUCUCAAGGUUUCCCACACUUUUUGUUUUGGUGGUAAAGAAGGAGGGAUGAUUCACCUUCAGGCUCUUGCCAACGAGGGAGUGUGGCACCAGUGUGAGGGCCGGAACAGUGUCCAUUUGGCCCACCAUUGCUACACCUCAGGGAUCAAUCUUAAGGAGUCCCAUAAGACCCCCACAAAGAGUGUCUGGACAAUGCAGUCCACGGCCAGCAGGCAGGGUGGAGCCACGGCUGGGGAGGGCGGAGUGUUCCAGAAAAAUGCCCCACACUCCCAUGGAUUCGGCCUUAGGUGGGGCCUAGAUCUCUGUUACCUCCCAAAGUGUUUGGUGUUUCCCUCCUGAGCUCAGCACAAAGUCAGUGUCAUCUCCCUGUCCCCCCAUUGAGGGUGAGCACAUGAAGCUGAUGCCAUGAGACCUCUGGCACCUGUGCCUUUCCACCUGGUGGGCUACUGGACUGCUGGGGUUCACGGAGUGGCCUCUCCAACACUGCAGCAUGUGUGCACUGGGUCUGAGGCCCGUUCGAGUGCUUUUAAUGAUUCUGGGUCACUAUUAGAAGGCUUUUGGCUUUUGAAACAAUUUCCAAAGUUGAGGGGUUUUUUUCUUUCUUAAACAACAUUUAAUUUUGACC
RNAcentral lists this long non-coding RNA (2205 nucleotides) under Homo sapiens (human). Its description in RNAcentral is "HSALNT0005577". The record is from RNAcentral. Lineage: Eukaryota; Metazoa; Chordata; Mammalia; Primates; Hominidae.